AGAGUUUGAUCCUGGCUCAGGAUGAACGCUGGCGGCGUGCCUAAUACAUGCAAGUCGAGCGAACAGAUAAGGAGCUUGCUCCUUUGAAGUUAGCGGCGGACGGGUGAGUAACACGUGGGUAACCUACCUAUAAGACUGGGAUAACUUCGGGAAACCGGAGCUAAUACCGGAUAACAUUUAGAACCGCAUGGUUCUAAAGUGAAAGAUGGUUUUGCUAUCACUUAUAGAUGGACCCGCGCCGUAUUAGCUAGUUGGUAAGGUAACGGCUUACCAAGGCGACGAUACGUAGCCGACCUGAGAGGGUGAUCGGCCACACUGGAACUGAGACACGGUCCAGACUCCUACGGGAGGCAGCAGUAGGGAAUCUUCCGCAAUGGGCGAAAGCCUGACGGAGCAACGCCGCGUGAGUGAUGAAGGGUUUCGGCUCGUAAAACUCUGUUAUUAGGGAAGAACAAAUGUGUAAGUAACUGUGCACAUCUUGACGGUACCUAAUCAGAAAGCCACGGCUAACUACGUA
Molecule: ribosomal RNA, 517 nt
Filed under: uncultured Staphylococcus sp.
Lineage: Bacteria; Bacillati; Bacillota; Bacilli; Caryophanales; Staphylococcaceae
Description: bacterial SSU rRNA
Rfam family: Bacterial small subunit ribosomal RNA
Source: RNAcentral